This 245-nucleotide unclassified non-coding RNA is filed under the name Hevea brasiliensis (rubber tree). The record is from RNAcentral. Lineage: Eukaryota; Viridiplantae; Streptophyta; Magnoliopsida; Malpighiales; Euphorbiaceae.
AGAAUCUAGAAUUAACCGCGAAAUUAUCUUCCUCCGUCAACGAUCUUAACUCCGCCGUCUUCCGCCGCUGAUCUUCGAAGCGGGCAAUCCCGGAGACUAUAUUUUCUCCGUACUAGAGAAGAGAGAGAUCUUGGAAGUUUUUACAGAUAAUAAGUGUCCGGAGCAAUGGCUUCCCUUAAAAUCAAAGCGGUUUUCUGUAUGCAAUUGCUACCUUUGCUCAUCGGAGCUUUUUCCGUUAUCCGAAU